RNAcentral lists this small nuclear RNA (69 nucleotides) under Pogona vitticeps (central bearded dragon). Its description in RNAcentral is "U1 spliceosomal RNA (ENSPVIG00000014549.1)". Lineage: Eukaryota; Metazoa; Chordata; Lepidosauria; Squamata; Agamidae. The record is from RNAcentral.
AGGAUAAGGCUCAUAUAUUGCACUUUGGAUGUGCUGACCCCUGUGAUUUCCCCAAAUGCGGGAAAAUCA